GAUGAACGCUGGCGGCGUGCUUAACACAUGCAAGUCGAACGAAGCACUUUAUUUGAUUUCCUUCGGGACUGAUUAUUUUGUGACUGAGUGGCGGACGGGUGAGUAACGCGUGGGUAACCUGCCUUGUACAGGGGGAUAACAGUUGGAAACGGCUGCUAAUACCGCAUAAGCGCACAGCAUCGCAUGAUGCAGUGUGAAAAACUCCGGUGGUAUAAGAUGGACCCGCGUUGGAUUAGCUAGUUGGUGAGGUAACGGCCCACCAAGGCGACGAUCCAUAGCCGACGUGAGAGGGUGCCCGGCCACUUUGGAGCUGGUACACGGCCCACACUCCUACGGAAGGCAGCAGUGGGGAAUAUUGCACAAUGAGCGAAAGCCUGACGCAGCGACGCCGCGUGAGCGAAGAAGUAUUUCAGUAUGUAAAGCUCUAUCAGCAGGGAAGAUCAUGACGGUACCUGACGAAGAAGCACCGGCUAAAUACGUG
RNAcentral lists this ribosomal RNA (481 nucleotides) under uncultured bacterium. RNAcentral describes it as "partial 16S ribosomal RNA". It matches the Rfam family "Bacterial small subunit ribosomal RNA", at positions 28 to 507 of the family's 1533-position model. The record is from RNAcentral.